GAUGAACGCUGGCGGCGUGCCUAAUACAUGCAAGUCGAGCGAACAGAUGAAGAGCUUGCUCCUCUGACGUUAGCGGCGGACGGGUGAGUAACACGUGGAUAACCUACCUAUAAGACUGGGAUAACUUCGGGAAACCGGAGCUAAUACCGGAUAAUAUAUUGAACCGCAUGGUUCAAUAGUGAAAGACGGUUUUGCUGUCACUUAUAGAUGGAUCCGCGCCGCAUUAGCUAGUUGGUAAGGUAACGGCUUACCAAGGCAACGAUGCGUAGCCGACCUGAGAGGGUGAUCGGCCACACUGGAACUGAGACACGGUCCAGACUCCUACGGGAGGCAGCAGUAGGGAAUCUUCCGCAAUGGGCGAAAGCCUGACGGAGCAACGCCGCGUGAGUGAUGAAGGUCUUCGGAUCGUAAAACUCUGUUAUUAGGGAAGAACAAAUGUGUAAGUAACUAUGCACGUCUUGACGGUACCUAAUCAGAAAGCCACGGCUAACUACGUG
Molecule: ribosomal RNA, 497 nt
Filed under: uncultured bacterium
Lineage: Bacteria
Description: partial 16S ribosomal RNA
Rfam family: Bacterial small subunit ribosomal RNA
Source: RNAcentral